UUAAGCGACUAAGCGUACACGGUGGAUGCCCUGGCAGUCAGAGGCGAUGAAGGACGUGCUAAUCUGCGAAAAGCGUCGGUAAGGUGAUAUGAACCGUUACAGCCGGCGAUGUCCGAAUGGGGAAACCCAGUGUGAUUCGUCACACUAUCGUUAACUGAAUACAUAGGUUAACGAGGCGAACCGGGGGAACUGAAACAUCUAAGUACCCCGAGGAAAAGAAAUCAACCGAGAUUCCCCCAGUAGCGGCGAGCGAACGGGGAGCAGCCCAGAGUCUGAAUCAGCUUGUGUGUUAGUGGAACGGUCUGGAAAGUCCGACGGUACAGGGUGAUAGUCCCGUACACCAAAAUGCACAGGUUGUGAACUCGAAGAGUAGGGCGGGACACGUGAUAUCCUGUCUGAAUAUGGGGGGACCAUCCUCCAAGGCUAAAUACUCCUGACUGACCGAUAGUGAACCAGUACCGUGAGGGAAAGGCGAAAAGAACCCCGGCGAGGGGAGUGAAAAAGAACCUGAAACCGUGUACGUACAAGCAGUGGGAGCACCUUUAUGGUGUGACUGCGUACCUUUUGUAUAAUGGGUCAGCGACUUAUAUUCUGUAGCAAGGUUAACCGUAUAGGGGAGCCGCAGGGAAACCGAGUCUUAACUGGGCGUUAAGUUGCAGGGUAUAGACCCGAAACCCGGUGAUCUAGCCAUGGGCAGGUUGAAGGUUGGGUAACACUAACUGGAGGACCGAACCGACUAAUGUUGAAAAAUUAGCGGAUGACUUGUGGCUGGGGGUGAAAGGCCAAUCAAACCGGGAGAUAGCUGGUUCUCCCCGAAAGCUAUUUAGGUAGCGCCUCGUGAACUCAUCUUCGGGGGUAGAGCACUGUUUCGGCUAGGGGGUCAUCCCGACUUACCAACCCGAUGCAAACUACGAAUACCGAAGAAUGUUAUCACGGGAGACACACGGCGGGUGCUAACGUCCGUCGUGAAGAGGGAAACAACCCAGACCGCCAGCUAAGGUCCCAAAGUCACAGUUAAGUGGGAAACGAUGUGGGAAGGCACAGACAGCCAGGAUGUUGGCUUAGAAGCAGCCAUCAUUUAAAGAAAGCGUAAUAGCUCACUGGUCGAGUCGGCCUGCGCGGAAGAUGUAACGGGGCUAAACUGUGCACCGAAGCUGCGGCAGCGACACUAUGUGUUGUUGGGUAGGGGAGCGUUCUGUAAGCCUGCGAAGGUGGCCUGUGAGGGUUGCUGGAGGUAUCAGAAGUGCGAAUGCUGACAUAAGUAACGAUAAUGCGGGUGAAAAGCCCGCACGCCGGAAGACCAAGGGUUCCUGUCCAACGUUAAUCGGGGCAGGGUGAGUCGACCCCUAAGGCGAGGCCGAAAGGCGUAGUCGAUGGGAAACAGGUUAAUAUUCCUGUACUUGGUGUUACUGCGAAGGGGGGACGGAGAAGGCUAUGUUAGCCGGGCGACGGUUGUCCCGGUUUAAGCAUGUAGGCGGAGGUUCCAGGUAAAUCCGGUACCUUUUAACGCUGAGGUGUGAUGACGAGGCACUACGGUGCUGAAGUAACAAAUGCCCUGCUUCCAGGAAAAGCCUCUAAGCAUCAGGUAACAUUGAAUCGUACCCCAAACCGACACAGGUGGUCAGGUAGAGAAUACCAAGGCGCUUGAGAGAACUCGGGUGAAGGAACUAGGCAAAAUGGUGCCGUAACUUCGGGAGAAGGCACGCUGAUAUGUAGGUGAAGCCCCUGCGGGUGGAGCUGAAAUCAGUCGAAGAUACCAGCUGGCUGCAACUGUUUAUUAAAAACACAGCACUGUGCAAACACGAAAGUGGACGUAUACGGUGUGACGCCUGCCCGGUGCCGGAAGGUUAAUUGAUGGGGUUAUCCGUAAGGAGAAGCUCUUGAUCGAAGCCCCGGUAAACGGCGGCCGUAACUAUAACGGUCCUAAGGUAGCGAAAUUCCUUGUCGGGUAAGUUCCGACCUGCACGAAUGGCGUAAUGAUGGCCAGGCUGUCUCCACCCGAGACUCAGUGAAAUUGAACUCGCUGUGAAGAUGCAGUGUACCCGCGGCAAGACGGAAAGACCCCGUGAACCUUUACUAUAGCUUGACACUGAACAUUGAGCCUUGAUGUGUAGGAUAGGUGGGAGGCUUUGAAGCGUGGACGCCAGUCUGCGUGGAGCCAACCUUGAAAUACCACCCUUUAAUGUUUGAUGUUCUAACGUGGACCCGUAAUCCGGGUUGCGGACAGUGUCUGGUGGGUAGUUUGACUGGGGCGGUCUCCUCCCAAAGAGUAACGGAGGAGCACGAAGGUUAGCUAAUCCUGGUCGGACAUCAGGAGGUUAGUGCAAUGGCAUAAGCUAGCUUGACUGCGAGCGUGACGGCGCGAGCAGGUGCGAAAGCAGGUCAUAGUGAUCCGGUGGUUCUGAAUGGAAGGGCCAUCGCUCAACGGAUAAAAGGUACUCCGGGGAUAACAGGCUGAUACCGCCCAAGAGUUCAUAUCGACGGCGGUGUUUGGCACCUCGAUGUCGGCUCAUCACAUCCUGGGGCUGAAGUAGGUCCCAAGGGUAUGGCUGUUCGCCAUUUAAAGUGGUACGCGAGCUGGGUUUAGAACGUCGUGAGACAGUUCGGUCCCUAUCUGCCGUGGGCGCUGGAGAAUUGAGGGGGGCUGCUCCUAGUACGAGAGGACCGGAGUGGACGCAUCACUGGUGUUCGGGUUGUCAUGCCAAUGGCAUUGCCCGGUAGCUAAAUGCGGAAGAGAUAAGUGCUGAAAGCAUCUAAGCACGAAACUUGCCCCGAGAUGAGUUCUCCCUGACUCCUUGAGAGUCCUGAAGGAACGUUAAAGACUAUGACGUUGAUAGGUCGGGUGUGUAAGCGUAGCGAUACGUUGAGCUAACCGAUACUAAUGAACCGUGAGGCUUAACCUU
This 2903-nucleotide ribosomal RNA is filed under the name Klebsiella aerogenes MGH 78. Its description in RNAcentral is "bacterial LSU rRNA". It matches the Rfam family "Bacterial large subunit ribosomal RNA". Lineage: Bacteria; Pseudomonadati; Pseudomonadota; Gammaproteobacteria; Enterobacterales; Enterobacteriaceae. The record is from RNAcentral.